This 975-nucleotide ribosomal RNA is filed under the name uncultured Hypocreales. Its description in RNAcentral is "eukaryotic LSU rRNA". The stretch from base 333 to 975 matches the Rfam family "Eukaryotic large subunit ribosomal RNA", at positions 1 to 667 of the family's 3401-position model. The record is from RNAcentral. Lineage: Eukaryota; Fungi; Ascomycota; Sordariomycetes; Hypocreales.
AAAACUUUCAACAACGGAUCUCUUGGCUCUGGCAUCGAUGAAGAACGCAGCGAAAUGCGAUAAGUAAUGUGAAUUGCAGAAUUCAGUGAAUCAUCGAAUCUUUGAACGCACAUUGCGCCCGCCAGUAUUCUGGCGGGCAUGCCUGUUCGAGCGUCAUUACAACCCUCAGGCCCCCGGGCCUGGCGUUGGGGAUCGGCGGAAGCCCCCUGCGGGCACAACGCCGUCCCCCAAAUACAGUGGCGGUCCCGCCGCAGCUUCCAUUGCGUAGUAGCUAACACCUCGCAACUGGAGAGCGGCGCGGCCACGCCGUAAAACACCCAACUUCUGAAUGUUGACCUCGAAUCAGGUAGGAAUACCCGCUGAACUUAAGCAUAUCAAUAAGCGGAGGAAAAGAAACCAACAGGGAUUGCCCCAGUAACGGCGAGUGAAGCGGCAACAGCUCAAAUUUGAAAUCUGGCUCUCGGGCCCGAGUUGUAAUUUGUAGAGGAUGCUUUUGGUGAGGUGCCUUCCGAGUUCCCUGGAACGGGACGCCAUAGAGGGUGAGAGCCCCGUCUGGUUGGACACCGAUCCUCUGUAAAGCUCCUUCGACGAGUCGAGUAGUUUGGGAAUGCUGCUCUAAAUGGGAGGUAUAUGUCUUCUAAAGCUAAAUACCGGCCAGAGACCGAUAGCGCACAAGUAGAGUGAUCGAAAGAUGAAAAGAACUUUGAAAAGAGAGUUAAAAAGUACAUGAAAUUGUUGAAAGGGAAGCGCUUGUGACCAGACUUGGGCUUGGUUGAUCAUCCGGGGUUCUCCCCGGUGCACUCUUCCGGCUCAGGCCAGCAUCAGUUCGCCCUGGGGGAUAAAGGCUUCGGGAAUGUGGCUCUCUCCGGGGAGUGUUAUAGCCCGCUGCGUAAUACCCUGUGGCGGACUGAGGUUCGCGCAUUCGCAAGGAUGCUGGCGUAAUGGUCAUCAGUGACCCGUCUUGAAACACGGACC